Molecule: ribosomal RNA, 208 nt
Filed under: uncultured Methanolinea sp.
Lineage: Archaea; Methanobacteriati; Methanobacteriota; Methanomicrobia; Methanomicrobiales; Methanoregulaceae
Description: partial 16S ribosomal RNA
Rfam family: Archaeal small subunit ribosomal RNA
Source: RNAcentral
GGGGCAACGGUAGGUCAGCAUGCCCCGAAUUAUCCGGGCUACACGCGGGCUACAAUGGUCAGGACAAUGGGCAUCAACACCGAAAGGUGAAGGCAAUCUCUUAAACCUGUCCUUAGUUCGGAUUGUGGGCUGCAACUCGCCCACAUGAAGCUGGAAUCUGUAGUAAUCGCGUCUCCAAAAUGGCGCGGUGAAUAUGUCCCCGCUCCUU